GUCCUUUAGAAUUUAAUUUGAGGUCUAACCUGCCCACUGAAUUUAUUUUAAAUGGCCGCAGUAAUUUGACUGUGCAAAGGUAGCAUAAUCAUUAGUUUUUUAAUUAAAAGCUUGUAUGAAGGGUUGGACGAGGUAAAAUCUGUCUCUAAUUAAUUUAAUUUAGAAUUUAACUUUUAAGUUAAAAGGCUUAAAUAUAUUUAAAAGACGAGAAGACCCUAUAGAUCUUAAUAAUUAUUUUAUUAAAUUUAUUUAAGAAUUUUUACAAUUUUAUUAAUAUAAUUAUUUUAUUGGGGUAAUAUAAAGAUUAAAUAAAUUCUUUAUUUUUAUUUACAUUAAUUUAUGAUAUUAUGAUCCAAUUUUAUUGAUUAUAAGAUUAAGUUACCUUAGGGAUAACAGCGUAAUUUUUUUAAAGAGUUCUUAUCGAUAAGAAAGUUUGCGACCUCGAUGUUGGAUUAAAGAUUAUUUCAGGUGUAGAAGUUUGAAAUUUUGGUCUGUUCGACCAUUAAAUCUUUACAUGAUCUGAGUUCAGACCGGUGUAAGCCAGGUCGGUUUCUAUCUUUAAUAAAUUAAAAUAUUUUAGUACGAAAGGACCAAUUAUUUGAUAUAAAAUAUUUAAAUUUUGAUUAUUAUUAA
This 633-nucleotide ribosomal RNA is filed under the name Nebria businskyorum. RNAcentral describes it as "partial large subunit ribosomal RNA". The stretch from base 389 to 547 matches the Rfam family "Bacterial large subunit ribosomal RNA", at positions 2473 to 2632 of the family's 2925-position model. Lineage: Eukaryota; Metazoa; Arthropoda; Insecta; Coleoptera; Carabidae. The record is from RNAcentral.